AACGAACGCUGGCGGCAGGCCUAACACAUGCAAGUCGAGCGGACCUUUCGGGGUCAGCGGCGGACGGGUGAGUAACGCGUGGGAAUAUGCCCUUCUCUACGGAAUAGUCCUGGGAAACUGGGGGUAAUAUCGUAUACGCACUUUGGGGGAAAGAUUUAUCGGGGAAGGAUUAGCCCGCGUUGGAUUAGGUAGUUGGUGGGGUAAUGGCCUACCAAGGCGACGAUCCAUAGCUGGUUUGAGAGGAUGAUCAGCCACACUGGAACUGAGAGACGGCGCCGACACGGAAGGGAGGAAGCGGUGGGGAGUAUUGCAGAAGGGGCGCAAGGCUGAUGAAGAAAUGGGGAGUGGAUGAAGAAGGCUGUCGGGUGGGAAAGUAAUUUAGGCGGGGAGGAAGGAAGUAAAGGUAAUACCGUGGCGCAAGGACGUGACCCGCAGAAGAAGAACAGGCGAACUCCGUG
This 458-nucleotide ribosomal RNA is filed under the name uncultured bacterium. RNAcentral's name for it is "partial 16S ribosomal RNA". It matches the Rfam family "Bacterial small subunit ribosomal RNA", at positions 29 to 507 of the family's 1533-position model. The record is from RNAcentral.